RNAcentral lists this ribosomal RNA (484 nucleotides) under uncultured bacterium. Its description in RNAcentral is "partial 16S ribosomal RNA". It matches the Rfam family "Bacterial small subunit ribosomal RNA", at positions 30 to 507 of the family's 1533-position model. The record is from RNAcentral.
AUUGAACGCUGGCGGCAGGCCUAACACAUGCAAGUCGAGCGGAUGAAGGGAGCUUGCUCCUGGAUUCAGCGGCGGACGGGUGAGUAAUGCCUAUGAAUCUGCCUGGUAGUGGGGGAUAACGUCCGGAAACGGGCGCUAAUACCGCAUACGUCCUGAGGGAGAAAGUGGGGGAUCUUCGGACCUCACGCUAUCAGAUGAGCCUAGGUCGGAUUAGCUAGCUGGUGGGGUAAAGGCCUACCAAGGCGAGGAUCCGUAACUGGUCUGAGAGGAUGAUCAGUCACACUGGAAGUGAGACACGGUCCAGACUCCGACGGGAAGCAGCAGGGGGGAAUAGUGGACAAGGGGCGGAAGCCUGAUCCAGCCAUGCCGCGUGUGUGAAGAAGGUCUUCGGAUUGUAAAGCACUGUAAGUUGGGAGGAAGGGCAGUAAGUUAAUACCUUGCUGUUUUGACGGUACCAACAGAAUAAGCACCGGCUAACUUCGUG